This 465-nucleotide ribosomal RNA is filed under the name uncultured bacterium. Its description in RNAcentral is "partial 16S ribosomal RNA". It matches the Rfam family "Bacterial small subunit ribosomal RNA", at positions 28 to 507 of the family's 1533-position model. The record is from RNAcentral.
GAUGAACGCUGGCGGCGUGCUUAACACAUGCAAGUCGAACGGAAAGGCUCCUGCUUGCAGGGGUUCUCGAGUGGCGAACGGGUGAGUAACACGUGGGUGAUCUGCUCUGCACUUCGGGAUAAGCCUGGGAAACUGGGUCUAAUACCGGAUAGGACGAUGGCUUGGAUGCCAUUGUGGAAAGUUUUUCGGUGUGGGAUGAGCUCGCGGCCUAUCAGCUUGUUGGUGGGGUAAUGGCCUACCAAGGCGUCGACGGGUAGCCGGCCUGAGAGGGUGUACGGCCACAUUGGGACUGAGAUACGGCCCAGACUCCUACGGGAGGCAGCAGUGGGGAAUAUUGCACAAUGGGCGCAAGCCUGAUGCAGCGACGCCGCGUGGGGGAUGACGGCCUUCGGGUUGUAAACUCCUUUCGCUAGGGACGAAGCGCAAGUGACGGUACCUGGAGAAGAAGCACCGGCUAACUACGUG